CCUAACACAUGCAAGUCGAGCGCGCCCUUCGGGGUGAGCGGCGGACGGGUUAGUAACGCGUGGGAAUAUACCCUUUGGCACGGAAUAGCCUCUGGAAACGGAGAGUAAUACCGUAUGAGCCCUUCGGGGGAAAGAUUUAUCGCCAAAGGAUUAGCCCGCGUUAGAUUAGGUAGUUGGUGGGGUAAUGGCCUACCAAGCCUACGAUCUAUAGCUGGUUUUAGAGGAUGAUCAGCAACACUGGGACUGAGACACGGCCCAGACUCCUACGGGAGGCAGCAGUGGGGAAUCUUGGACAAUGGGGGCAACCCUGAUCCAGCCAUGCCGCGUGAGUGAUGAAGGCCUUAGGGUCGUAAAGCUCUUUCGCCUGUGAAGAUAAUGACGGUAGCAGGUAAAGAAACCCCGGCUAACUCCGUGCCAGCAGCCGCGGUAAUACGGAGGGGGUUAGCGUUGUUCGGAAUUACUGGGCGUAAAGCGCACGUAGGCGGAUCGGAAAGUUGGGGGUGAAAUCCCGGGGCUCAGCCCCGGAACUGCCUCCAAAACUAUCGGUCUAGAGUUCGAGAGAGGUGAGUGGAAUUCCGAGUGUAGAGGUGAAAUUCGUAGAUAUUCGGAGGAACACCAGUGGCGAAGGCGGCUCACUGGCUCGAUACUGACGCUGAGGUGCGAAAGUGUGGGGAGCAAACAGGAUUAGAUACCCUGGUAGUC
Molecule: ribosomal RNA, 702 nt
Filed under: uncultured Alphaproteobacteria bacterium
Lineage: Bacteria; Pseudomonadati; Pseudomonadota; Alphaproteobacteria
Description: bacterial SSU rRNA
Rfam family: Bacterial small subunit ribosomal RNA
Source: RNAcentral